Molecule: ribosomal RNA, 789 nt
Filed under: uncultured bacterium
Lineage: Bacteria
Description: bacterial SSU rRNA
Rfam family: Bacterial small subunit ribosomal RNA
Source: RNAcentral
UCGAUUAGUUUGAUCCUGGCUCAGAACGAACGCUGGCGGCGCGCCUAAUACAUGCAAGUCGAGCGAGAAGACGUAGCAAUACGUUUGUAAAGCGGCGAACGGGUGAGGAAUACAUGGGUAACCUACCCUAGAGUGGGGAAUAACUAGCCGAAAGGUUAGCUAAUACCGCGUACGCUCCUUGGACUUCGGUACAGGGAGGAAAGCGAUACCGUGGGUAUCGCGCUCUUGGAUGGGCUCAUGUCCUAUCAGCUUGUUGGUGAGGUAACGGCUCACCAAGGCUUCGACGGGUAGCUGGUCUGAGAGGACGAUCAGCCACACUGGCACUGCGACACGGGCCAGACUCCUACGGGAGGCAGCAGUAAGGAAUAUUGCGCAACGGGCGAAAGCCUGACGCAGCGACGCCGCGUGGGGGAUGAAGGUUUUCGGAUUGUAAACCCCUUUCGGGAGGGAAGAUGGAACGAGCAAUCGUUCGGACGGUACCUCCAGAAGCAGCCACGGCUAACUUCGUGCCAGCAGCCGCGGUAAUACGAAGGUGGCAAGCGUUGUUCGGAUUUACUGGGCGUACAGGGAGCGUAGGCGGUUCGGUAAGCCCUCUGUGAAAUCUCCAGGCUUAACCUGGAACAGUCGGAGGGGACUGCUGGGCUAGAGGACGGGAGAGGAGCGCGGAAUUCCCGGUGUAGCGGUGAAAUGCGUAGAGAUCGGGAGGAAGGCCGGUAGCGAAGGCGGCGCUCUGGAACGUUUCUGACGCUGAGGCUCGAAAGCGUGGGGAGCAAACAGGAUUAGAUACCC